This 468-nucleotide ribosomal RNA is filed under the name uncultured bacterium. RNAcentral describes it as "partial 16S ribosomal RNA". It matches the Rfam family "Bacterial small subunit ribosomal RNA", at positions 28 to 507 of the family's 1533-position model. The record is from RNAcentral.
GACGAACGCUGGCGGCGUGCUUAACACAUGCAAGUCGAACGGAAAGGCCCUGCUUUUGUGGGGUGCUCGAGUUGCGAACGGGUGAGUAACACGUGAGUAACCUGCCCUUGACUUUGGGAUAACUUCAGGAAACUUGGGCUAAUACCGGAUAGGAGCUCCUGCUGCAUGGUGGGGGUUGGAAAGUUUCGGCGGUUGGGGAUGGACUCGCGGCUUAUCAGCUUGUUGGUGGGGUAGUGGCUUACCAAGGCUUUGACGGGUAGCCGGGCUGGGAGGGUGACCGGCCACAUUGGGACUGAGAUACGGCCCAGACUCCUACGGGAGGCAGCAGUGGGGAAUAUUGCACAAUGGGCGGAAGCCUGAUGCAGCAACGCCGCGUGCGGGAUGACGGCCUUCGGGUUGUAAACCGCUUUCGCCUGUGACGAAGCGUGAGUGACGGUAAUGGGUAAAGAAGCACCGGCUAACUACGUG